CCUGGGUCGAUUCCCUUCUCGUUCUCCUCACAGCGCCUCCUCCUCUCCAAUCCCUAACCCUAACCCUAAGGCGACGGCGCCGUCGCCCGCGGCCUCUCCCCUUCACCAACGGCGCCAUCUCGUCCGAGUCCGAGCUGGAGGAGCACGUGUACGUCGGGGAUGCAGCAAGGCCAGCAUGCCAUCGGUCCCGCCUUCCCUGGUUCCUCGCCGAGCGCCACGAAGAGGAAGAGAGAAUGGUGAAGGAGAAGGGAAAGGGUGCUGGUAAGGAGAAUGGGAAGGCGAAGGGUGCUGGUAAGGAGAAUGGCAAGGCGAAUGGGAAGGCGAAGGCAAAGGAAAAGAGCUUGAAUUACCUAAUUAGGCAAGAUUCGCCGCUGCCUCUGCCGGUUCCGAGGAAGAAGAGCAAACCUAAGGUGCAGAUUAGGAAGGAGAAAGACUUUCCCAAUGCCCCAAUGGGAGAGUUGAUUUGUAGCUUAAAAAAACACCCUCCACCUCCUCCGCGUCUCCCUGACCGCACCGGUGCCGGCGUGCGUGCCGCGGAAGCCGCUGCCUCCGGCUCCGCAAUCGGCUCCGAGCUGCCUCAUGCAUCUACUAUUGUGGUAGAGGACGAGGAGAAGGAGGAGGACGACGAGGACGAGGAGAAGGAGAAUGAGGAGGACGACGAGGACGAGGACAUAGAUGAGGACAAGGACAAGGAAUAUGAGGAGCAGAAUCUGUUUGUGGUUCCUCCAUUGCAAGCGGGCUGGUGA
This 746-nucleotide ribosomal RNA is filed under the name Triticum aestivum (bread wheat). RNAcentral's name for it is "partial small subunit ribosomal RNA". Lineage: Eukaryota; Viridiplantae; Streptophyta; Magnoliopsida; Poales; Poaceae. The record is from RNAcentral.